Molecule: unclassified non-coding RNA, 332 nt
Filed under: soil metagenome
Description: partial contains 5.8S ribosomal RNA, internal transcribed spacer 2, and large subunit ribosomal RNA
Rfam family: 5.8S ribosomal RNA (bases 1-120)
Source: RNAcentral
GAUGAAGAACGUAGCAAAAUGCGAUAAGUAAUGUGAAUUGCAGAAUUCAGUGAAUCAUCGAAUCUUUGAACGCACAUUGCGCCCGCCAGUAUUCCGGCGGGCAUGCCUGUUCGAGCGUCAUUUCAACCCUCAAGCACAGCUUGGUGUUGGGACUCGCGUUAAUUCGCGUUCCCCAAAUUGAUUGGCGGUCACGUCGAGCUUCCAUAGCGUAGUAGUAAAACCCUCGUUACUGGUAAUCGUCGCGGCCACGCCGUUAAACCCCAACUUCUGAAUGUUGACCUCGGAUCAGGUAGGAAUACCCGCUGAACUUAAGCAUAUCAAUAAGCGGAGGA